AUGAACGCUGGCGGCGUGCCUAAUACAUGCCAGUCGAGCGAACAGAUGAGGAGCUUGCUCCUCUGACGUUAGCGGCGGACGGGUGAGUAACACGUGGAUAACCUACCUAUAAGACUGGGAUAACUUCGGGAAACCGGAGCUAAUACCGGAUAAUAUAUUGAACCGCAUGGUUCAAUAGUGAAAGACGGUUUUGCUGUCACUUAUAGAUGGAUCCGCGCCGCAUUAGCUAGUUGGUAAGGUAACGGCUUACCAAGGCAACGAUGCGUAGCCGACCUGAGAGGGUGAUCGGCCACACUGGAACUGAGACACGGUCCAGACUCCUACGGGAGGCAGCAGUAGGAAAUCUUCCGCAAUGGGCGAAAGCCUGACGGAGCAACGCCGCGUGAGUGAUGAAGGUCUUCGGAUCGUAAAACUCUGUUAUUAGGGAAGAACAAAUGUGUAAGUAACUAUGCACGUCUUGACGGUACCUAAUCAGAAAGCCACGGCUAACUACGUG
RNAcentral lists this ribosomal RNA (496 nucleotides) under uncultured bacterium. Its description in RNAcentral is "partial 16S ribosomal RNA". It matches the Rfam family "Bacterial small subunit ribosomal RNA", at positions 29 to 507 of the family's 1533-position model. The record is from RNAcentral.